UAUUUUAUUAAUAUUUUCACCCCCUUUUAGGCCCAACUCUAAAAUCUUUAAACGGUCAAUAUUUUUUAAAAAAAACUUUCAACAACGGAUCUCUUGGUUCUCGCAUCGAUGAAGAACGCAGCGAAUUGCGAUACGUAAUAUGACUUGCAGACGUGAAUCAUUGAAUCUUUGAACGCACAUUGCGCCCCGGGGUAUUCCCCAGGGCAUGCGUGGGUGAGCGAUAUUUACUCUCAAACCUCCGGUUUGGUCCUGCUUCGGCAUAAUAUCAACGGCGCUAGAAUAAGUUUUAGCCCCAUUCUUCUUCCUCACCCUCGUAAGACUACCCGCUGAACUUAAGCAUAUCAAUAAGCGGGAGGAAAGAUAUUAACAUGUUUUUAACCCUUUUGGGCCAACUCUAAAUCUAACCGUCAAUAUUUUUUAAAAAUUUCACACGGACUCUGGUUCCGCUUCAUGAAGACGCGCGAUUGCGAUCGUAUAGGCUGGAGACGGAAUCAUUGAUCUUGAAGCCAUUGCGCCCGGGUAUUCCAGGGAGCGUGGGUGAGCAUAUUUCUCUCAACCGUCUGGGUGGUCCUGCCUCGGCUAAUACGACGGAGCUAGAAUAAGUUUAGCCCCAUUCUUCCUCCUCAGCUUGUAAGACUAACCGUUGACUUAGUAUAUCGAGGAACAGAGGAA
This 672-nucleotide ribosomal RNA is filed under the name Metschnikowia sp. (in: budding yeasts & allies). Its description in RNAcentral is "eukaryotic LSU rRNA". The stretch from base 74 to 223 matches the Rfam family "5.8S ribosomal RNA". Lineage: Eukaryota; Fungi; Ascomycota; Pichiomycetes; Serinales; Metschnikowiaceae. The record is from RNAcentral.